CGUUAAGUGUCUGAGUUAUAAGUAAUGGUCUCUUAAACCGUUUACGGCCGUAGGCCCUUGGCGA
Molecule: transfer RNA, 64 nt
Filed under: Cloeon dipterum
Lineage: Eukaryota; Metazoa; Arthropoda; Insecta; Ephemeroptera; Baetidae
Description: tRNA-Lys
Source: RNAcentral